Molecule: non-coding RNA, 456 nt
Organism: Cricetulus griseus (Chinese hamster)
Lineage: Eukaryota; Metazoa; Chordata; Mammalia; Rodentia; Cricetidae
Source: the annotation of a RefSeq genome assembly
AUGGACAGGAGCUGGAUCAUCCUCUACCUGGUGGCAGCAGCUAUAGGAGUCCAUUCUCAGGGUCAUCUGCAGCAGUCUGCCUCUGAACUGAGAGCUCCUGGAGCUGCAGUACAGGUGACCUGCAAGGAUUCUGACCCUAAUGACUUCCCCAUUGCCUGUAUGAAUUGGGUGAGGCAGAAGCCUGGACACGGGCUUGAGUGGAUUGGAAACAUACUCCCAAGCAUUGGUAGAACAAACUAUGCACAGACCUUUGAGGACAGAGCCACACUGACUGCAGAUACACAGUUGAACACAGCCUACAUGGAGCUCAGCAGCCUGACAUCUGAGGACUCUGCCGUCUACUACUGUGCAAGGCACAGAGCCACAGCUCACAUCUCGAGUGUGUCAGAAACUCUGAAGAAAGAGGAAGCUGAAGAGCAACCUGAAGACUUGCUCAAAAUUGUGGUUAUGUUUUGA